This 487-nucleotide ribosomal RNA is filed under the name uncultured bacterium. Its description in RNAcentral is "partial 16S ribosomal RNA". It matches the Rfam family "Bacterial small subunit ribosomal RNA", at positions 28 to 507 of the family's 1533-position model. The record is from RNAcentral.
GAUGAACGCUGGCGGCGCGCCUAACACAUGCAAGUCGAACGAUUAAAGCACCUUCGGGUGUGUAUAAAGUGGCGAACGGCUGAGUAACACGUGGGCAACCUGCCCCUUUCAUUGGGAUAGCCACGGGAAACCGUGGAUAAUACCGAAUACUUCGAGACUUCCGCAUGGAAGACUCGAGAAAGCUCCGGCGGAGAGGGAUGGGCCCGCGGCCUGUUAGCUUGUUGGUGGGGUAACGGCCUACCAAGGCAAUGAUGGGUAGCUGGGUUGAGAGACCGACCAGACACACUGGGACGGAGAGACGGGCGAGACACCGGCGGGAGGAAGCAGGGGGGAGUUGUGGAGGAUGGGCGCAAGACUGAUCCAGCAAUGCGGCGUGCAGGACGAAGGACGGCGGGUGGUAAAAUGAUGUUGUACGGAAAGAAAAGGCUCGGGAUAAUACCUGGGGAUCAUGACGGUACCGUAAGAAUAAGCACCGGCUAACUACGUG